ACUAAAAUGGCAGAUAGAUGUGUAAGAUUUAAGCUCUUAUUAGGAAAUAUUAUUUCUUUUAGUA
RNAcentral lists this transfer RNA (64 nucleotides) under Neotrypaea harmandi. RNAcentral describes it as "tRNA-Leu". Lineage: Eukaryota; Metazoa; Arthropoda; Malacostraca; Decapoda; Callianassidae. The record is from RNAcentral. RNAcentral also lists the same sequence under 2 other names.